GUUGACCUACGGGACGCAGCAGUGGGGAAUAUUGCACAAUGGGGGAAACCCUGAUGCAGCGACGCCGCGUGAGUGAAGAAGUAUUUCGGUAUGUAAAGCUCUAUCAGCAGGGAAGAAAAAAAGACGGUACCUGACUAAGAAGCCCCGGCUAACUACGUGCCAGCAGCCGCGGUAAUACGUAGGGGGCAAGCGUUAUCCGGAUUUACUGGGUGUAAAGGGAGCGCAGGCGGCCUGCCAAGUCUGGUGUGAAAACCCGGGGCCCAACCCCGGGUCUGCAUUGGAAACUGGCGGGCUGGAGUGUCGGG
Molecule: ribosomal RNA, 305 nt
Filed under: uncultured bacterium
Lineage: Bacteria
Description: bacterial SSU rRNA
Rfam family: Bacterial small subunit ribosomal RNA
Source: RNAcentral